AAUCGGCUGCUGCCUCUUGGACCUCACUGAACCCUAACUAUAUCAAGAUUUACUUUGAUGGAGCUGUUAGCAAAAGGUAGCAUUCAGGAUCGGUGACAGCCAUCGCUCAUAGCCAUCAGGGCUACCGUAGGGGGUUGGGUGUGCAAAAUCUUCAAAGAAGUAAUGGAUCCUGUGGUUCUGGAUGGCCUAGCCUGUCACAAAGCUUUACUGCUAGACAAAGCCAAGGGAAUAAAGGAAAUUGUUAGCAGCGGAGAAAUUGACUUUCAACGGUGUUUUCUCUGUAAUGGCGUUAAAUUAUUAAGCUUUUUAUUUUUUUUAAAUAAAAUUUAUGACUCAUAUUAUUAAUUGACGUGUAAUGGUUUCAUUGGUUUGGAGCACCACCCCCAUCUAGGUGAGGUGGUAUACCGGGAAUAGAGAAUAAUUUCCCAUAUAUCGCAAUUCUCUCUCUUGGUCGGUAGAGCUCUUUCUUUUAUGCUCCCCCUUCGCUAUCUUUUUGUUCUUCCAAAAUUUCGUCUCAACCUCAGCCUCUCGGAUCACACUGCAUGUCUUCCCCUGCGUCCUCUUCUUCCUCCCCUGUCUGAGAUUGGAUCUACUGAAUAGAAGACAACCAUGUCCGAAUCUCACUCUGCUACCUGCAUGUCUUCGGUCACCUCAACACACGCCCUUGCCUUCUCCCCUGGCUCAGACCAGUCAGUCAACGACUCCCACUUGUGCCGUUUCGAUUCUCUCCAUCUGGGCAACAAAUCCCAACUACCGGUAGCCUCCCUUGCCCCUGGAAUCAAGCGAAUGGACUUCGACGUGACAAUUUGUCAGAAUUGUGGUGAUAGAGGCUUCUCCAAGGCGCUGAUUUUUUGUCAUGAAUGCCAGGCUUAUGCUGUGCAUUGGUAAGUGGCACUGUUGUCCAUUUGAUCUAUUUGUGAUAUUGGCAGAACUGUGUUGCUCACCACACGGGCCUUAUAAAUGUUAAAGAUCAAUGCAUAACAAAAUAUGAAACUUAAACAGUGCUGAAGCAUCAAUGCUUGGUUAGUUGGUUAUAUAUGUAUAUUUGAGCAUGGAUCUUACUACCCUCAACUCUUUAAUGAAGGCAAAAAAGAGAGGGGGUGGGGGGCUGCAGGGUUAAUCUUCAGUGAGCAGUUCUAUAAUGUUGGCUAAACAUUUGGUUUUAUUUACCAUGUUAUAUUGGUAUCUGACCCUAUUAUUUGUCCUAUAUAUAUAUAUAUA
This 1221-nucleotide unclassified non-coding RNA is filed under the name Hevea brasiliensis (rubber tree). The record is from RNAcentral. Lineage: Eukaryota; Viridiplantae; Streptophyta; Magnoliopsida; Malpighiales; Euphorbiaceae.